UGAAGAUUUUGAAAGUGAAGGGGAAAGAUGAAAGAAGAGUUUGAGAGACCAGUAGUUGACCUCUGAAGAAAAUCUGAAAAUGAUGUGCUAUCUUCCAUGCAUGCAGCGAUACUGGAGGAAAGUCUUCACGUGCUUUGUCACGUGUGUUUGUCUUUGCAACAAAUUUUAUGAUAAAAUAGUAGUUUGAUUCUCAUUUUUUGCCUAAACAAAAAUGGUUUUGUAUAUUAUAAUUAUUUUAAGAUUUGAAAAACUUAGAUCCUAUACUAUUUUUAAAUUUUACAACAUUUAUGGCAUGUUUGGUUCAGUGUAAUGGCUAUGCCAUUACAAGCCUAUUCCGUGGGCCCACACUAAACACUUGUUUGGUUUAAUGGAAUGCCCUAUUACGAGCUUAUUCCAUUACGCUCCUAUGCAAAGAAAUUGUCUUAUUUCUAUUCCGUUUCAUCAGCACCGAUUACUGAUUCGGUGUUUAAGGAAACGCUCAAUACAAAGACGCUCCCCACUUUGCCCUCUCCCCUUCUCCCACUUUCUCACUUGAAAAAAGCAGACGGACAAUCCUUCAUCGCAGGGUCAGCUUGCAAGCAAGGAAAAAAUGGAGAAAGAACGAGCAAGACUUGCUGAUGAAUUGAAUAGAGGAUAUUUUGAUGAUAUGUCUGAGCUAAAACAGCACGGUGGUAAGAAUGAUACAAGCUCUACUGGAUAGACUUGUUCCUUUGCUUCUUCAGCAACUAGUGCAAGAUUACAGCAACUGGGUUCAACUCCAAAAGCAGCUGAUAAAUUAGCUUCUUUGUUCAUAUCAGCUAGUAAACUAGCAAAUGCAAGGCCGAGUAACUCAAUAAAUUUGAUAUUUCAGUAAAGAAGGCAUUGUUGAGAUUCAGCAGAGAAGGCAUUGUUGAGAUUCGCAAACUCAAUAAAAUUUGACAUAUUUGGUUAGAAAGAGUUAGAAUCUUUAUCGCAAUAUGGGUUAAGUUUUGACAUCAUUUUAUUAUGAUUUUGGAUUGUCCCCAAUUGGUCUCUUUGGAAAUAGAGGAGAUAUUGCAACUUGACAAUAUUCCGAGUGUUGAAUAAAUAGAAAUAAAAUGUUUGUGCC
This is an RNA transcript of Gossypium arboreum, 1087 nucleotides long. RefSeq lists it as uncharacterized. The transcript has 6 exons. The record is from RefSeq and is a predicted model, not a curated record. Lineage: Eukaryota; Viridiplantae; Streptophyta; Magnoliopsida; Malvales; Malvaceae.